GGGAUGAACGCUGGCGGCGUGCUUAACACAUGCAAGUCGAGCGAAGCGAUUUUAAGGAAGUUUUCGGAUGGAAUUAAAAUUGACUUAGCGGCGGACGGGUGAGUAACGCGUGGGUAACCUGCCUCAUACAGGGGGAUAACAGUUAGAAAUGACUGCUAAUACCGCAUAAGCGCACAGUGCCACAUGGCACAGUGUAGAAAA
RNAcentral lists this ribosomal RNA (201 nucleotides) under uncultured soil bacterium. RNAcentral's name for it is "partial 16S ribosomal RNA". It matches the Rfam family "Bacterial small subunit ribosomal RNA", at positions 27 to 206 of the family's 1533-position model. The record is from RNAcentral.